Molecule: long non-coding RNA, 4703 nt
Filed under: Sus scrofa (pig)
Lineage: Eukaryota; Metazoa; Chordata; Mammalia; Artiodactyla; Suidae
Description: lncRNA (ENSSSCG00025003206.1)
Source: RNAcentral
AGGCUGGGGGUCAAAUCAGAGCUGCAGGUAAAUCAACACAAAACCUUACCACAUGCUCCAUCAACCACUGGAAUAGAAAUGAAACAAAUUCUGCUUGCUCUAUAACUAGCAGUCCCUUUUUAAGUCACUCUUUUUGGUCUUCUCCAUACCCCUUAAUCUGCAUGUCCCUAUUAAAAAAUAAGUUUUCUUGUGGAUUUCUGGACCUUUGGGCAGCAUUAUAGGAAACCUGAUUGUUAAUAAGUUACCUUGACACGAGAAGAAUGAAAUCUCACUUUGUUUCACUGCACUCUAGAUGUAAAACAUCUCUAAGGAGAGGUCACAGCCCUUGGCUCCCACAUACACUCUGGUGACUUGAACUAUUCCUUUGGGCAUACGACUCAACUCUGUUUCUUUAAUUCAGUCUCUGUAUAAUUCCAGUUCCCAAAUUUCUAACUGCUUAUCAAAUAUUUCCCCUUGAAACAUCUAAUUCCAAUUCACUAGAAAUCAUCUCAGAAACAGCUUGUGCUUUUUUCCCCCCACAAACCAGCUCUUUUCAUGAAACAUCUAUUUCAGAUAAAUCUAUACAUUCUUUGAAGUCUAAAGACGUGGGGUUAUUGCUGAUUUCUCCCAAUGUUUAUCUUCCUCAUUCCCUAAACCACUAUCACCUACAUCCAGUCAGUGACUAAGUCCUUCCAGUUGCAUACCUUAAAUUUAUAUGUUGAGAUGAAGAUCAAUCAACAUUAUAUAAAGCUGUUAGGUAUUCAAUACGAAGUUAACUUCUAUUGUCAUUAUAUCUAACACUUUUAAAUUCUCCUGAUUUUACAUUUGUGCAUUCUAUAACAGCUUUUCUGCUUUGGACUAAAUGUGUAAACACUAAGAAUCAUUUAGGAUUCCACUGAAAUACAUUUACUCUCAUUUACCUUGGAGGCCAGGAGAGUACAGGGCCAUAUCUCUUUCUUCUAGUCUCUGAAGAGCAUGUAUUAUUUCCACUAUUCAUUCAAUCAAGGGUUGCUUUGUGACAUCAUCGUAUUUAAUUGAACAGUUCUUUGUCUCUUACACUGGCACUUUGUUCACACUGUAUUUAUUUUCUUAUCCCAAUUACACAGUGAUUUUCACUAGGACAAGGGAUGGUCUUAUAUCUCUCCAAAAUGCCUAGAAAACUGUAUUUUUAAAGAUGCUUAAAAUCUGUUGUUGAUUUCUUGAUAAUUGCUAAUACUCCAUUCAAUUGUUUUCAGUGGGAUCAAGCUUGUAUAAAAAUAUGCUUGGAUGGUCACAGUCCACUUAUGAUUGCUUAAGUAAAAUCUUUCUUAUCAACUUCUCCAAGGAGGACGAAAGCAUUGAAAAGUGUGUUCCCAUCAUUUACAAAGAUACUCAAGUCCAAUAUGUGAAUAAUUCUAAAAAAGGGGGACCAUAAGACAAUCAUGAAUACAGGCAAGUGGAAUCCCAGAACAAGAUUUAAUCUGAUUCACUAGGAUUAUAACAUCAAGUUCAUGCUUUAUGAAUCUGACAUUGUAAAAUAAAAUAUAACUGCUAUAUCGAGAAAAUAUUUUGAAUUGAUAAUUCAAGACAUUAGGUAUAAGGGUUCUCUUGUGUGUUCUCAGAGGAAAGAAAGGGCAUAUAUAUCCAAAAUAUGCAAGACUGAAUGAUUAGCAGAGAACGGCUAACCACCUCACACCAACCUACCUCUUGAAUGAAACAGAAAAACACAAGUUCAUGGUGCAGGAGCCAAUGUGAUAGCUCUUUCUUGAGGUACACAGGUAAAACAUACUUAAGAUAAUACCACUCUUUAAAUGUCCACAAUAUAGGAAAAGGAUGAAUGAACUAAUGGCGAGAACAUAGUUCUGUUUCUUAGUAAUGUUGGACCAUCUAUGAACAUAGCAAAGGAUUUCUCAUUGUCUGCCCCAUGAUAUCUUUACAUUCUAAAUUCAUGCGGAGGUGCCUACAAUUUAACCAAUGGAAUUCUAUUAUUUGGUCUUCCUGUUAUCCCUUCUGUAGCCAAACUGAUGAAGCUCUGAAGUCAAUGAACGCAAGUGGCUCCUAAUACCUCGACAGAGUAAAGUCCAGAGCUAAGCCCUUAUUCAUUGCCAUCCCCUCUCAGGACCCAAAUCCCAGGUGAUCCAGGGCUUCUACUAAAUGGAACCAGUGCUUCAAAGAAGGAAACACUUGAUUACACACAGACUGUUCUCGCAUGCCUUACUAUUUAAACCAUUUAUUUAUUAAAUGGUCCUCCGCUGGGUUUUAUUUUAAAAGGUUGCUUCCGAACCUGAGUGCUUUAAGUGAACAGCUCUGUUUUUAGCCAAUGACUUUUUCCAACAGCAGGUUAGGUGCUCAGCUUUUUAUUACAGCUGCAAUAGGACUGGAGUUCUACCCCUUUCAAGUCAAAAUAUAUCCUCCUUUAUUUUUCAGAGUAAUUGUAGCCAGUGAGCCAUAUAUUUUCUUUAACUCUCUCUCUCUCUCUGUCACACACACACACACACACACACACACACACACACACACACAGGUUUCCCAGAGCAACUUAGACUAAAAUAAAUUGUUUUGUAAGGAUUUAUUUUGGCACAUCCUAUGGCAUGUCCAUGUGUACAAUCUGGCUGUGACCUUUCAUAAAAACAGCCUGUGUUAAUACUGAUGGCUUCUAUUCCAGUUCUCCUAAGGCACAUUCACUGCAGUGAUAACAGAAUGGGCAGAAAUGUUUCUUUUCAAGGACAUCACUGGUACAACACAGGUGUGGUCAGCUAUUUUCUGAUUGUCCAGUUCCACAGAGAAAACUGAAUCCUUCUUGAAUUCUGACCUGCUCUCCAGCCCAGGAAACAGGCCACUCACUCCCCAGGACACCUAACAAGAGAGCAUUUGACGUCUCCCAUUUGACUUAAGAGGCAAUUUUGCCACUUCAUUUAUGAGAGAAGAAAAAGUGCCACGAAGCAUCUUUAUGAUGGCAGAGACCUCAUGCUGUGAGUUGAUCUUGCCACCCUGAAACUAAUCUGGAAAUAUUUGUACCUUAAUCUCCUGCAGAAAUAAACCUUCUGGAGCUCUUAAGAUGACAUACAGUGAAAUUUGUUCUACAUCAGCUAUUUCUAGGCACGCUGGUAGGAAUCAAAAGAAAAUGCAAAAGCUUAAGUUCUGUCCUUUGGAGAUCAUUUCUUGUUUUAUCUUCUUUCUUUGCAGAAGAUUUUUCUGGUGCUAGUUCAUUAGGGAGAUUCUGUCUCCCCUCCUCUCCUCUCUCUCUUUGUUACUUCCCUUUCUUUGGCCUGAAAUCCUAUCUCACAAUCAAACCUUUCCACCUGGUCUGCAAAGACCUGUUUUGCUUAUCUGAUGAUUAGAAAUUCCCACAUGUAAUUGUAGGCUUUUUACUUAUCCAGGAGAUAAGGCUGGUCACUGAGAGGCCAGUUGGCCACCCCUAUUUAACACCCCAUUGACUUCUAGCAUCCUCGUGUAUCUUAUCAAGAAGAACUACUCCCCACAUCAUUUAACCAGCUGGUGUGUUUAGGCUAAAAAUUAAAAAAAAAAAAAAUGACAUCACUACAGUAGUAUGAGAUGGCAAGGGGCAUGGUGCAAAUGACCCUAAAGUAGGUUGCUACCUACAGGGACUGUGUCCUGCCCUAGUCACCGCCAACACUGAUAGUUAGAUUUAAUGACAUAUGUGCUGUCUCCACAUCGCUGUUUUAAAAUACUUGGAACCACCUGGGCAGUGCCCUUUACUGUCACAACUCAAUUCUACAGAGAUAAAUAUUAGAGUUGCCAAGGUCAGUGACCCUGCCGAAUGGUAUCGCAGACAGCCAGCAAGAGGACGACUCCACUGCCGGCAAGCUAAUUAAGAGUUGAAGGAGGCCUGUGACACCGUGGCACCCGCACAGCCUCCCCCAGCACAGGUUUUUGCCCUUGGCGUUCCAAGAACAAUCUGACAUGUACUCUGGCAGAUGCCACUGUGCUCGCUUCAGCAAAUUUAAGUGACUGUAGCCUUGCCAUUGACUGCCAAUUAAUUUUAAACCAAAUGUCUGGGAGAGGUGAUAUCAGGUAUCCUGAGAAAAUUAUAUGUGACAAAUGUAGAAUAAAUAGUGUCAUGAACGGUGACUAGUCUUAAAAUUCCAAAGUUUACCCUCUAUUGUACUUGUUUCAGGAAAAGGGAAGUGGUGCCAAGUGCUUUGGGGGUUCUCUGUCAACCCUGCUUAUCUUGUCCAAUUCCUUCAUACAGGAAAAAAAAAGUUUUUCUCUUGACUUGUUAUAAAAUAAGGUUAAUAACAUUACACUGAGAAGUUUUGUUGGCAUAGGAAAUUGAUGACUAUGUAAGUAAGCUGAUGGUUUCAUAUUAUAUACACUCAUUUCACUCCAGGAAAUUAAGUAUACAAACAAGCAAUUCGCCACAUGUCUUGAAUCUGGUCCAGAGUACCAGAAGAUAGAUAUAGAAAACUAGGAAACUAAAUAGCAAUACAAAGGUAUGGGUUCAAUUUCUAACUAGGUAAUGACUCAAAAAAAAAAAUCUCCUAAGUCUUGACUUUCUCAUUUGUAAAACAGUGUUAGAAUCUUCAUUAAUAGUUUCAAAAGUUCUGUACUCUCAAAAAAAUUACUAUGAGUGCAAUCAAUAAUUGACAAUACCCGUUUCCCUUCUUACCACUUCUUAUAUCUAUAUACACUCUGUUAAUGGGCAAAUGAACAGAAAUUAAGUAAACAGAGAGUAUAAUUCACUCAUUUAAAGCUUGGACCAAGAACAACAAAAUGUAUGAAAU